UUUUCGGUGCAAGAUAUGCAAAACUUCUUUGGCCUAUACUUUUGUUACACAUAGGUGGUGGGUAUCCUCCCCAAGAUGACGUUGGACAGAAUUUUCAAAGCAUACAAUUGCCUUACAUCUGGUACUCCUGCCUCCUCAAACAACCUCUGGCUUGGAAAAGUGCGGUUUUUCUUAUGGAUUAUCUUCAGUAACCAUUUUUGGAUGGUCUCUAAAGGUUUGAUGUGGUUAUUAUACGUGCCGCCCCAUCCCACUAUCCCGUAGGUGAUCUGGGACUCAACCAAGGCUUGAUAGAAAAUUUUUAAGAAUUUUUUUGAGACCAGAUGCUUACUCAAGUACCUGAACUUGAAAAGAAGACCCCUCAGCUUGUUUACAACAUUCUUUAUAUGUUUAUUCCAUCUCAUUUGUGAAUCAAUUGUUAUUCCUAAAUACUUUAUAUGUUCUGUUUCAGCUAUACAGAUUCCAUCAUCAAAAACAAGAUCUCCCAGAUGCGGAAGACUCGAAGCAUAAGAGCUGAACACCAUAUAUUUAGUCUUGUCUAUAUUUAAAGUUAGUUUAUUAUGCUUGAACCAAUUUAUUAUUUCUGGAAAUAUCACCUGAACUUUUUCUCUCAGCUCUUCCCAUGUUUUCGCCUGGUAUUGGAUAACGGUAUCAUCAGCAAAGCAAAUCGCACCUUCAGAUUGUUUCAUUUUGAGUAAACUAUUUAUGUAAAUGAGAAAUAGAACAGGACCUAAUACGGUACCUUGUGGAACUCCGUAUGUUAUUGUCUCUUCUUGACUCCUUGAGUCUCCAAUCUCCACAACCUGCUUUCUAUUUGACAAAUAGCUCUUUAAUAAUUUAUACAUCGAACCUCUAAAUCCGUAAUUUUUUAAUUUUUUGAGCAGUCGAAUAUGGCAUACUGUAUCAAAUGCCUUACAUAAGUCGACAAAUAUACAAAGUGAAGGGAUCGUUUUAUCCAGACAUUCAUACAGCUUUCCUGUCAGUUCUCUUAUAGCAUCUUCUGUUGAUUUUCCCUCAAUAAAUCCGUAUUGUUUCUCGUCGAUAAUAUUAUAUUUUUUCAGGUAGUCCAUAAUACGUCUUUUCAUAGCCUUUUCCACUAUCUUGGCCAGGUUCGAUAUCAGAGAGAUGGGUCUAUAGUUCGUAACUUCGGAUCGGUCUCCGCUUUUGUAUACUGGCUUGAUAAUACCUGUUUUCAAAGUAUCAGGAAAACAUCCCCUCUCAAAAUAGUUAUUUAUAAGAUGAACUAAAGGUGCCGAUAUUUCCCACUUAAUUUCUUUUAGAGUUUCAGAUCUAAUGGAAUCAUGACCAGCAGCCUUUCCAGACUUGAGCUGACCUAUGAUAUCCUGUAUCUCUUUAGUGUCUACGGGAAGCAGGUAGAAGGAAUUACACUGGGAAGUAUCUCUUUCUUUAUACUCCUUAGGUGGAUCGAUUCUAUCAGCAUAAAGUUUUCCUAUACCACUGAAAUGUUUAUUGAAUAUAUUAGCUAUUUCUGUCUUAUCCUGGUAAUAAACUGCUUCAUACUUUA
Coccinella septempunctata (seven-spotted ladybird) is the source of this 1522-nucleotide long non-coding RNA. RefSeq lists it as uncharacterized. The record is from RefSeq and is a predicted model, not a curated record. Lineage: Eukaryota; Metazoa; Arthropoda; Insecta; Coleoptera; Coccinellidae. The transcript is spliced from 2 exons.